RNAcentral lists this ribosomal RNA (443 nucleotides) under uncultured bacterium. Its description in RNAcentral is "partial 16S ribosomal RNA". It matches the Rfam family "Bacterial small subunit ribosomal RNA", at positions 338 to 795 of the family's 1533-position model. The record is from RNAcentral.
CCUACGGGUGGCAGCAGUGGGGAAUAUUGGGCAAUGGGCGCAAGCCUGAACCAGCAACGCCGCGUGAAGGAAGAAGGCUUUCGGGUUGUAAACUUCUUUUCUUGGGGACGAAGAAAGUGACGGUACUCAAGGAAUAAGCCACGGCUAAAUACGUGCCAGCAGCCGCGGUAAAACGUAGGUGGCAAGCGUUAUCCGGAUUUAUUGGGUGUAAAGGGCGUGUAGGCGGGAUUGCAAGUCCGAUGUGAAAACCACGGGCUCAACCUGUGGCCUGCAUUUGAAACUGUAGUUCUUGAGUGCUGGAGAGGCAUUCGGAAUUCGUGGUGUAGCGGUGAAAUGCGUAGAUAUACGGAGGAACACCAGUGGCGAAGGCAGAUUGCUGGACAGUAACUGAUGCUGAGGCGCGAAAGCGUGGGGAGCAAACAGGAUUAGAUACCCGAGUAGUC